CGGCGAACGGGUGAGUAACACGUGAGCAACCUGCCCCGAAGACUGGGAUAACACCGGGAAACCGGUGCUAAUACCGGAUACCCCCACCAGGCCGCAUGACCAGGUGAGGAAAUGAAUUUCGCUUCGGGAGGGGCUCGCGGGCUAUCAGCUAGUUGGUGGGGUAACGGCCUACCAAGGCGACGACGGCUAGCUGGUCUGAGAGGACGACCAGCCACACUGGGACUGAGACACGGCCCAG
Molecule: ribosomal RNA, 238 nt
Filed under: uncultured bacterium
Lineage: Bacteria
Description: partial 16S ribosomal RNA
Rfam family: Bacterial small subunit ribosomal RNA
Source: RNAcentral